AUACGGAGGAUGCGAGCGUUAUCCGGAUUUAUUGGGUUUAAAGGGUGCGCAGGCGGGCGAUUAAGUCAGCGGUGAAAGGCUCGGGCUCAACCGGAGCAGUGCCGUUGAUACUGGUUGUCUUGAAUGCGGUCAAGGCCGGCGGAAUGUGGCGCGUAGCGGUGAAAUGCAUAGAUAUGCCACAGAACACCGAUAGCGAAGGCAGCUGGUCGGGCCUGCAUUGACGCUGAGGCACGAAAGUGCGGGGAUCGAACAGGAUUAGAUACCCUGGUAGUCCGCACUGUAAACGAUGAUGACUCGCUGUCGGCGAUAGACAGUCGGUGGCCAAGCGAAAGCGAUAAGUCAUCCACCUGGGGAGUACGACCGCAAGGUUGAAACUCAAAUGAAUUGACGGGG
This 393-nucleotide ribosomal RNA is filed under the name uncultured bacterium. RNAcentral's name for it is "partial 16S ribosomal RNA". It matches the Rfam family "Bacterial small subunit ribosomal RNA", at positions 523 to 918 of the family's 1533-position model. The record is from RNAcentral.